This 86-nucleotide transfer RNA is filed under the name Candidatus Collierbacteria bacterium CG17_big_fil_post_rev_8_21_14_2_50_45_7. Its description in RNAcentral is "tRNA-Leu". It matches the Rfam family "tRNA". Rfam says of the family: Transfer RNA (tRNA) molecules are approximately 80 nucleotides in length. Their secondary structure includes four short double-helical elements and three loops (D, anti-codon, and T loops). Further hydrogen bonds mediate the characteristic L-shaped molecular structure. tRNAs have two regions of fundamental functional importance: the anti-codon, which is responsible for specific mRNA codon recognition, and the 3' end, to which the tRNAs corresponding amino acid is attached (by aminoacyl-tRNA synthetases). tRNAs cope with the degeneracy of the genetic code in two manners: having more than one tRNA (with a specific anti-codon) for a particular amino acid; and 'wobble' base-pairing, i.e. permitting non-standard base-pairing at the 3rd anti-codon position. The record is from RNAcentral. Lineage: Bacteria; Candidatus Collieribacteriota.
GCCGAGGUGGUGAAAUGGUAUACACGUGACACUUAAAAUGUCAUGUCUUUACAGACGUGCGGGUUCGAGCCCCGCCCUCGGCACCC